RNAcentral lists this ribosomal RNA (255 nucleotides) under uncultured bacterium. Its description in RNAcentral is "partial 16S ribosomal RNA". It matches the Rfam family "Bacterial small subunit ribosomal RNA", at positions 524 to 776 of the family's 1533-position model. The record is from RNAcentral.
UACGUAGGUGGCAAGCGUUGUCCGGAUUAUUGGGUUUAAAGGGUGCGUAGGCGGCCUAUUAAGUCAGUGGUGAAAUACUCUAGCUUAACUAGAGGGGUGCCAUUGAUACUGAUGGGCUUGAGUACAGAUGAGGUAGGCGGAAUUGACGGUGUAGCGGUGAAAUGCUUAGAUAUCGUCAAGAACACCUAUAGCGAAGGCAGCUUACUAGGCUGUAACUGACGCUGAGGCACGAAAAGUGUGGGGGAUCAAAACAGG